RNAcentral lists this ribosomal RNA (1570 nucleotides) under metagenome. RNAcentral describes it as "bacterial LSU rRNA". It matches the Rfam family "Bacterial large subunit ribosomal RNA", at positions 1344 to 2925 of the family's 2925-position model. The record is from RNAcentral.
GCUAAGGUUUCCUCAGGAAGGCUCGUCCGCUGAGGGUUAGUCGGGACCUAAGCCGAGGCCGAAAGGCGUAGGCGAUGGACAAUCGGUUGAUAUUCCGAUACCACUACCAUCGUUAUUAUCGAGGGUGUGACGGAGAAGGAUAGUGUGUGCUAGCGAUUGGAAAUGCUAGUCUAAGCGUUUAGGGAGUUACGGUAGGCAAAUCCGCUGUAACAAUUCUGAGGCGUGAUGGGGAAGGUCAUAUAGGCCGAAGUACAUGAUUCCAUGCUUCCAAGAAAAGCAUCUAGAGAGAGAAGUAGUGCCCGUACCGCAAACCGACACAGGUAGAUGAGGAGAGAAUCCUAAGGCCGGCGGAAGAAUUGCAGUUAAGGAACUAGGCAAAUUGACCCCGUAAGUUCGCGAGAAGGGGUGCCUGCGAGAGCAGGCCGCAGAGAAUAGGCCCAAGCAACUGUUUAGCAAAAACACAGGUCUCUGCUAAAGCGUAAGCUGAUGUAUAGGGGCUGACGCCUGCCCGGUGCUGGAAGGUUAAGGGGAACACUUAGCGCAAGCGAAGGUGUGAACUUAAGCCCCAGUAAACGGCGGCCGUAACUAUAACGGUCCUAAGGUAGCGAAAUUCCUUGUCAGGUAAGUUCUGACCCGCACGAAUGGCGUAAUGACUUGGGCACUGUCUCAACUGCAAAUCCGGCGAAGUUGUAGUGCGAGUGAAGAUGCUCGCUACCCGCGAUUGGACGGAAAGACCCCGUAGAGCUUUACUGUAGCUUAGCAUUGAAUUCCGGUAUUGUCUGUACAGGAUAGGUGGGAGACUGGGAAACUAGGGCGUCAGCCUUAGUGGAGUCAACCUUGGGAUACCACUCUGACAGUACUGGGGUUCUAACAGGACGCCAUGAAUCUGGUGACUGGACAUUGUUAGGUGGGCAGUUUGACUGGGGCGGUCGCCUCCUAAAAAGUAACGGAGGCGCCCAAAGGUUCCCUCAGAACGGUCGGAAAUCGUUCGUAGAGUGCAAAGGCAGAAGGGAGCCUGACUGCGAGACAUACAAGUCGAGCAGGGACGAAAGUCGGGCUUAGUGAUCCGGUGGUACCUCGUGGGAGGGCCAUCGCUCAACGGAUAAAAGCUACCUCGGGGAUAACAGGCUGAUCUCCCCCAAGAGUCCACAUCGACGGGGAGGUUUGGCACCUCGAUGUCGGCUCGUCGCAUCCUGGGGCUGUAGUAGGUCCCAAGGGUUGGGCUGUUCGCCCAUUAAAGCGGCACGCGAGCUGGGUUCAGAACGUCGUGAGACAGUUCGGUCCCUAUCCGUCGCGGGCGUAGGAAAUUUGAGAGGAGCUGUCCUUAGUACGAGAGGACCGGGAUGGACUGACCUCUGGUGCACCAGUUGUUCCGCCAGGAGCAUGGCUGGGUAGCUAAGUCGGGAAGGGAUAAACGCUGAAAGCAUCUAAGCGUGAAGCCUCCCUCAAGAUGAGAUUUCCCAUAGCAUAAGCUAGUAAGACCCCUUGAAGAACACAAGGUUGAUAGGUCAGAGGUGUAAGUGCGGUAACGUAUUUAGCUGACUGAUACUAAUAGGUCGAGGGCUUGACC